GUAGGUGGCAAGCGUUGUCCGGAAUUAUUGGGCGUAAAGCGCGCGCAGGCGGUCCUUUAAGUCUGAUGUGAAAGCCCACGGCUCAACCGUGGAGGGUCAUUGGAAACUGGGGGACUUGAGUACAGAAGAGGAAAGCGGAAUUCCAAGUGUAGCGGUGAAAUGCGUAGAGAUUUGGAGGAACACCAGUGGCGAAGGCGGCUUUCUGGUCUGUAACUGACGCUGAGGCGCGAAAGCGUAGGGAGCAAACAGGGAUUAGAUACCCUGGUAGUCCACGCCGUAAACGAUGAGUGCUAAGUGUUAGGGGGUUUCCCGCCCCUUAGUGCUGCAGCUAACGCAUUAAGCACUCCGCCUGGGGAGUACGGCCGCAAGGCUG
Molecule: ribosomal RNA, 373 nt
Filed under: uncultured organism
Description: partial 16S ribosomal RNA
Rfam family: Bacterial small subunit ribosomal RNA
Source: RNAcentral